RNAcentral lists this ribosomal RNA (253 nucleotides) under uncultured bacterium. Its description in RNAcentral is "partial 16S ribosomal RNA". It matches the Rfam family "Bacterial small subunit ribosomal RNA", at positions 524 to 776 of the family's 1533-position model. The record is from RNAcentral.
UACAGAGGUCUCGAGCGUUGUUCGGAUUCAUUGGGCGUAAAGGGUGCGUAGGUGGCCGUGUAAGUCAGAUGUGAAAUCCCGGAGCUCAACUCUGGAACUGCAUUUGAUACUGCGUGGCUAGAGUACUGGAGAGGAGACUGGAAUUUACGGUGUAGCAGUGAAAUGCGUAGAUAUCGUAAGGAAGACCAGUGGCGAAGGCGAGUCUCUGGACAGUUACUGACACUGAGGCACGAAGGCUAGGGGAGCAAACGGG